This 258-nucleotide ribosomal RNA is filed under the name uncultured Actinomycetales bacterium. RNAcentral describes it as "partial 16S ribosomal RNA". It matches the Rfam family "Bacterial small subunit ribosomal RNA", at positions 76 to 334 of the family's 1533-position model. Lineage: Bacteria; Bacillati; Actinomycetota; Actinomycetes; Actinomycetales. The record is from RNAcentral.
CGCUUUUGUGGGGUGCUCGAGUGGCGAACGGGUGGGUAACACGUGAGUAACCUGCCCUUGACUUUGGGAUAACUUCAGGAAACUGGGGCUAAUACCGGAUAGGAGCUCCUGCUGCAUGGUGGGGGUUGGAAAGUUUCGGCGGUUGGGGAUGGACUCGCGGCUUAUCAGCUUGUUGGUGGGGUAGUGGCUUACCAAGGCUUUGACGGGUAGCCGGCCUGAGAGGGUGACCGGCCACAUUGGGACUGAGAUACGGCCCAG